Oncorhynchus kisutch (coho salmon) is the source of this 2391-nucleotide long non-coding RNA. RefSeq lists it as uncharacterized. The record is from RefSeq and is a predicted model, not a curated record. The transcript is spliced from 2 exons. Lineage: Eukaryota; Metazoa; Chordata; Actinopteri; Salmoniformes; Salmonidae.
ACACUUCGGUUUCCGUUAUUCUGACGUUAUUUCCCCCUUUCUCUAAUCACGGCCAGCCAACAUGUCGCUUGCGAAAGGAGUCUACAAUAUGCUCUUCAGGAGAACAUCUACUUUUGCCAUUACCAUCAUGUUCGCAGCAGUGUUUUUUGAAAGAAUAUUUGACCAAGGAGGAGAUGCCAUAUUCGAGCAAUUGAAUCGGGGGAAACUCUGGAAACACAUCAAAUACCAAAACGAGGAAUAAAGAAGUGGCCUUAUGUUGCGGCAGAAAUGAAGCAAACGCCACACUUCAAUUUCCAUUCCUGAGUCGGUCUUCGUGAACCAUCACCUGCAUUGACCUGUCACUGCGAAGCCGAUUGUUCGCUAUCAGAAACUCCAUGGCAUGGGACUUUAAAAAAAGACUGAUCAAAACAUGGAAGUGUUUCAACUUGACCUUGUAUACUGUGAUCUCCUCUCCCUCACCAUUUGUAAAUGUGCUGAUACUUUAAAACUGUUAAUGCAUUCAAAGGAAACAUGUUUUGAUUUGUAGAAUCAGUUAAGUAAGCUAGCUCGCCAUCAACUGUACUGGACAUUUGUCUCUUGUUAGAUAUUGCACACUGUUACCCCACCACAUCUACUAUUUUAGCAUUGCGUUGUAGAAGGUAACAAGAUGUCUAGUUAAUCACUUUAGUACAGUGCUGUAGAGUUCUGUCGUGGAGAUUGUUUUGCAUUGCACAUCAAUAACUUGGGACUGUGGGGGCAGUAAUAUUUGGCCCAUUUUUCUAUUUAUUAGGAUCCCAUAACUGGUAAUGAGACCUGAUUGUGUUGCCAUUCGGUAUGACUAUGGACUUAUUGAAUAGUGUUAUUAAUGGAUGCUGUGAGAAGCAUGCAAACGUCAUAAAUGGCACCUAUCCACAAGUCAAAGAAAGCGCAAAUCCAAUACAGUUCAAAGGUCAACAGCACUGGGUUUAUCCUUCAGUCAGUCCAAGAAGAAACACAGGCCUAUUCCUAAUUAGAUUAGCUCAACUUCUGUGUCCUCUCUAGCCUCCUUUUGAACAGGUCAAGGUGAGCCUGUGAGAAGACAAAGUGGACACAUCCGCUUGUAUGAAAUUACUCCAAUUGCGCAUCAGGCAAAUUACUUACAUUUAUUUUAGGAUUCCACCCUGUAUCUAGUUGUGCAAUACAUUUAAUAAAGGGUUAAGUAGCAUAUUGUUCUUAAAUGUCUGCAUGCUCUUCUCCUUCGGGAAAAUAAUAGCUGAUUCAAAGGGGGUAGGAUACACUUGUCUAUUCAGGUAGAAUAUACCUGUGCUUCCUUGCCAGAAGGAUUAAGGGAGGACCAUGGGAGAUUCUCUUAUGGGAAAAAAAGACCAUCCUCUUGCCUCAGUCCUCCUCUGUGACCCGGAAAUCGAUGUGGUAGAGGAAUGUGUCAAUUCGUUAGGACACUCUGUUUGCCUACUAACUUUUAUUUGUUUGGAUCACUUUACACAUUUUAUUUGUGCUUCACCCCUGUAAACAUAAGUUGCCUUUUGUGGAGGUUCUCCUGUAAAUGUAAUUUGCCUGAUCUCCUCUCCCUCACCAUUUGUAAAUGCUGAUACUUUAAAACUGUUAAUAAAUUCAACAUAAACAUGUUUUGAUUUGUAGAAUCAGAUAAGUAGCUAGAUAAUCAUCGACUGUACUUGAGUCUCAUUUGGAGGAGCCAUUUCAUACAAGCGGAUGUGUCCACUUUCCGCCGUCUCGCCUUGGUUAUCUUUUACCUGUUCAAACAGGCAAGAGAGGACACAGGAGUUUGUCCUUCUCCACAGAAUUGCCUGUCUCAUUUCAAGCAAGUGCAUUUCCAUCCGCUAUCACUCUCAAUUUAACUUUGACCUUUUCAAAAGGAGUUGAGAGGAGGCAGGAGGUGAGCUAAUUUAAUAAAAGGCCCAUCUUCUGAAUUGAAACACUCUUGGUGAGGGAGGACAGACUUUUGCCAAAAUGAGAGAACCCCAAAGGUUAUUUAUCAGAAUAUCAGAAGAUGGUUGUCGGUAACCGUUCGCUCACAAGGCACUGCUGUCUUUGGUUUCCCUCACUGGGAGAAUUGAUCUAUGGUCACAGGUGUGACAGCCAGGUCUGGCUCUGUUGGGUAACACACAGCCUCAGUCCCCAACGACCGGUUGUUCAGUUUUUCAGGGGAAAUGGAAAGAGCCUGUGAAGCAACUUUUUGAAUGUUAAUAAGGUGACACUCAAUCUUCUCCACAUUUAUGGGAUUGGUAGAACAGUGCAGAAGAGAUCCCCAAACAGUUUUCUUUUCUUCUCGUCAAGACCAGUAUGUAAUGGGAUCGACACUGAAGAAAAAUACAAACUAAACUGUUUCAAUUAUUUUAAGUUACAGUUCAUAUAAGGAAAUCAGUCAAUGUAAAUAAAUUAAUUUGGGCUUAA